GGAGUGGGAGGGUUACUAAUCUUCAGUGCUAUUCUUGCUCUGUCUCUAAUACUUAUCAAAGAACUGAACAUUACAGUUGUAUGGUUGCCUUACCUAGCUAUCGUGUCUGUGAUAUGUUACAUUAUUGCAUUUGCCUCAGGUCCAGGAUCAAUACCAUGGUUUAUGGUUGCUGAGAUUUUUUCGCAAGGUCCACGAUCAGCGGCAAUUUCUGUGUCCACCAUGGUAAACUGGUUCUCGAACUUCACAGUUGGACUACUUUUCCCUUUAUUGAAUGAGCUGGCAAUUCAUCAAUACUCCUUCCUUCCGUUUGUGGUGCUGUUGAUUAUAUUCUUAAAC
Molecule: long non-coding RNA, 336 nt
Organism: Magallana angulata
Lineage: Eukaryota; Metazoa; Mollusca; Bivalvia; Ostreida; Ostreidae
Exons: 4
Source: RefSeq, a predicted model, not a curated record